This 1978-nucleotide long non-coding RNA is filed under the name Lupinus angustifolius (narrow-leaved blue lupine). RNAcentral describes it as "long non-coding RNA (LANG_LNC000594)". Lineage: Eukaryota; Viridiplantae; Streptophyta; Magnoliopsida; Fabales; Fabaceae. The record is from RNAcentral.
AGCCUUCGCGGAAAAGGGCAGGGAUGAGUGGGGCAUACUCGUACCACUGGCCGAGACGGUUGGCGAGGAUGUCGAUUCGGGCGGCGAGGUCGAGCUUGCUGAAUUUGGAAGGGAGGGGCGUUGGAGGAGGCCGGAAAGGCUGGUAGAGGUUUUGCUGGAUGGGAGGAGGGUUGUUGGAAAAACGGUCGAAGUUGAGGGUGGCGGAAAUUGGUUUAAGGGAAUUGGUACGGUGGUGGUGGUGGUGGUGGUGGUUGGGGGAGAUGGGGUUGAGGUUUAGAGUGUUUACUGAGAGUGAGAGCAUUGUAGAACUCGGGAUUGGUGAUGAUGAGAGAGUUUGAAGGUGUUGGAUUUGCCUUGCCUUAUCUAAUAGAUAUCCACUUUAGAUAUUUAUAUGUUUACUUCAAUUCAUUGGCUUUAUCAACUUGUGCAAGCAACUCACACAAUUUUGAUCCCCAUUAUUUUGAUUAAGGAUUUUUUUAGUACGAGAGAGACAAGGUUAUGACAUUUUUAUGUUUCCAAUAAAGCAAAUAAUAUACGUUUAUUUUCAUUGUCAAAAUUAUACUUAAUUUAAACAUAAUUGAGAGUUUAUUAAACAUGAAUGUGUAUAAGAGAUGAAUAAUAAAUUGUUGAAAUUGACAUCUUAAUUUAAUUUUCUUUUACUUAUAAGGUAAAAUGUUUGAACAAAAAUACACAUGUUAUCAAUAUUAAAUGAUUUAUAAAAUGAUCUUAAAACUUUUGUUGCAAAGUUUGACAAAGGUAAGUUUUUUAUCUUCAUAAUCUAUUUAAUAAGUAUAAAAUCAUUAAGAAUUCAAAUGAAGUUUAAUAUAAUAAGUAUCAUUGGCAAUUUGAGCAACGCCUAUGGGGUUCGCCUCAUACUUAUUAGGUGGUUAACCCAUAAGCAAAACGGACAGCUCACGUGCAAUAUUAGAUAAAGUAUUGAAUAUGAAAUAUGCAAGUUAUGUAUUAUUUAUUUUAUAUGAAGUGUAUAUAAAUUUAUAUAUUUAUAUAUAUAUAUAUUAGUUUAUUUAUGGCGGUUCACAAGUCCGCUCUAUGAUAGGACAAAUCGCAAGUGCACGAUUAUGAUGUCAGGUAAUAAAAUAUCGAUCCCACGAGGACUGACAAAUUCAUUUAAUUAUAACAAUUAAUUUAUAUUUAACUCAAAAAGGAAUUAAAAGUGAAUUUAGAACAAUUGAUAAGAAUAGUUAUGAAAAUAAUAAAAAAAAGAUUGAAAUCUAAUUUAUGAUAAGUUUCCAAGAUAAGGGUUAUCGCCUUUACACUCCCAAAUCUUUGUUUUGCUCAUUUUCAUGAACUUUAAGUUGUGAGGGUAAAUUACUCUUUGAUAUUGUCAUCAUCUCUCGAACUCUGACACAUGUACUCAAAUGAAAUCGCACCUACUCUCAUGGUACGAUUAUCAAUUAAAUUAUUUACUUGGAUCUUUCUAUUCAAUCGCUUUGUAGCAAUUUCAACGCCAGUGAUGCCAGUAGCUUCUUCAAGUGAAGGAGGAGAGAAGCCUUCGCGGAAAAGGGCAGGGAUGAGUGGGGCAUACUCGUACCACUGGCCGAGACGGUUGGCGAGGAUGUCGAUUCGGGCGGCGAGGUCGAGCUUGCUGAAUUUGGAAGGGAGGGGCGUUGGAGGAGGCCGGAAAGGCUGGUAGAGGUUUUGCUGGAUGGGAGGAGGGUUGUUGGAAAAACGGUCGAAGUUGAGGGUGGCGGAAAUUGGUUUAAGGGAAUUGGUACGGUGGUGGUGGUGGUGGUGGUGGUUGGGGGAGAUGGGGUUGAGGUUUAGAGUGUUUACUGAGAGUGAGAGCAUUGUAGAACUCGGGAUUGGUGAUGAUGAGAGAGUUUGAAGGUGUUGGAUUUGCCUUGCCUUAUCUAAUAGAUAUCCACUUUAGAUAUUUAUAUGUUUACUUCAAUUCAUUGGCUUUAUCAACUUGUGCAAGCAACUCACACAAUUUUGAUCCCCAUUAUUUUGAUUAAGG